GAUCCGGCCAUGCCGCGUGUGUGAAGAAGGCCUUUUGGUUGUAAAGCACUUUAAGCGAGGAGGAGGAGCUCUUGGUUAAUACCCAAGAUGCUUGGACGUUACUCGCAGAAUAAGCACCGGCUAACUCUGUGCCAGCAGCCGCGGUAAUACAGAGGGUGCAAGCGUUAAUCGGAUUUACUGGGCGUAAAGCGCGCGUAGGUGGCCAAUUAAGUCAAAUGUGAAAUCCCCGAGCUUAACUUGGGAAUUGCAUUCGAUACUGGUUGGCUAGAGUAUGGGAGAGGAUGGUAGAAUUCCAGGUGUAGCGGUGAAAUGCGUAGAGAUCUGGAGGAAUACCGAUGGCGAAGGCAGCCAUCUGGCCUAAUACUGACACUGAGGUGCGAAAGCAUGGGGAGCAAACAGGAUUAGAUACCCUGGUAGUCCAUGCCGUAAACGAUGUCUACUAGCCGUUGGGGCCUUUGAGGCUUUAGUGGCGCAGCUAACGCGAUAAGUAGACCGCCUGGGGAGUACGGU
RNAcentral lists this ribosomal RNA (510 nucleotides) under Acinetobacter sp. Its description in RNAcentral is "bacterial SSU rRNA". It matches the Rfam family "Bacterial small subunit ribosomal RNA", at positions 385 to 886 of the family's 1533-position model. Lineage: Bacteria; Pseudomonadati; Pseudomonadota; Gammaproteobacteria; Moraxellales; Moraxellaceae. The record is from RNAcentral.